This 2119-nucleotide ribosomal RNA is filed under the name human gut metagenome. RNAcentral describes it as "bacterial LSU rRNA". It matches the Rfam family "Bacterial large subunit ribosomal RNA", at positions 708 to 2703 of the family's 2925-position model. The record is from RNAcentral.
CCUGGACCCGAAGCGGGAUGAUCUAGCCCUGGGCAGGUUGAAGCGCGGGUAAGACCGCGUGGAGGACCGAACCCACCUGGGUUGAAAACCGGGGGGAUGACCUGGGGCUAGGGGUGAAAGGCCAAUCAAAUUCCGUGAUAGCUGGUUCUCUCCGAAAUGCAUUUAGGUGCAGCGUCGGUUGAUUGCAUCGCGGGGGUAGAGCUACUGGAUGCUUGCGGGCCCGUGUCGGGUACCAAUAGCAGCCAAACUCCGAAUACCGUGGAUGUGUAUUCCGGCAGUGAGUCGGCGGGGGAUAAGCUCCGUCGUCGAGAGGGAGACAGCCCAGAUCGUCGUCUAAGGUCCCGAAGCGUGUGCUAAGUGGGAAAGGAUGUGGAGUCGCAUAGACAGCCAGGAGGUUGGCUCAGAAGCAGCCAUCCUUGAAAGAGUGCGUAACAGCUCACUGGUCUAGUGGUUCCGCGCCGACAAUGUAGCGGGGCUCAAGCACACCACCGAAGACGCGGCAACAGUUUUUGCUGUUGGGUAGGAGAGCGUCCCGCGUGGGGCGAAGCGGCCGGGGAACCGUGCCGUGGACCGCGCGGGAGUGAGAAUGCAGACAUGAGUAGCGAGAGACGGGUGAGGAUCCCGUCCGCUGGAUGACCAAGGGUUCCGGGGCCACGUUCGUCGUCCCCGGGUGAGUCGGGUCCUAAGGCGAGGCCGACAGGCGUAGUCGAAUGGAUGAACGGGUGGAUAUUCCCGUACCGGCGGCGUACCGUAAGAGCCGAACGGAUGAGUACUAACCUCCGGUCGCGUGGCGUCGUUCCCUUCGGGGUUCGGGGUCCGCGGUCGUUGGGAGCGUAGUCCUGGUAGGCUAGCGCACAGGGGUGACACGGAAUGGGAGCCGGCCGCGGAGGUGGUUUUCCGUGGUCAAGCACGCAGCCCGUCCCAUAGGCAAAUCCGUGGGACGCAUAGGGUGAGGUGUGAUGAUGGGCGUCCUUUGGACGCGAUAUCCGGUGGUCCAGGCCGUCGAGAAAAGCCUCGGCGCGAGGGGCGUCGCCGCCCGUACCCCAAACCGACACUGGUGGUCAGGUAGAGAAUACCAAGGCGAUCGAGCGAAUCCUGGUCAAGGAACUCGGCAAAUCACUCCCGUGCCUUCGGUAUAAGGGAGACCCCCGGGCGUGAAGAGGCUUGCCCUCGGAGCGUUGGGGGGUGGCACAGACCAGGGGGUAGCGACUGUUUACCAAAAACACAGGUGCAUGCGAAGGCGCAAGCCGCUGUAUAUGCACUGACGCCUGCCCGGUGCCGGAAGGUUAAGAGGAUCCGUCAGCCCCUUUUGGGGUGAAGCGGUGAAUUCAAGCCCCGGUAAACGGCGGUGGUAACUAUAACCAUCCUAAGGUAGCGAAAUUCCUUGUCGGGUAAGUUCCGACCUGCACGAAUGGCGUAACGACUUCCCCACUGUCUCGACCAGGAGCUCGGCGAAAUUGCAGUACGAGUAAAGAUGCUCGUUAAGCGCAGAAGGACGAAAAGACCCCGGGACCUUUACUAUACCUUGGUAUUGGCGUUAGGCGCGGAUUGUGUAGCAUAGGCGGGAGGCUUCGAAGCGCGGGCGCCAGCCCGUGUGGAGCCGCAAGGUGAAAUACCGCUCUGUUCUCGUUUGACGUCUCACCUCGAACAGUCAUCCUGUUCAGGGACAGUGCCUGGCGGGUAGUUUAACUGGGGCGGUUGCCUCCCAAAGAGUAACGGAGGCGCUCAAAGGUCCGCUCAGCCCGGUUGGCAAUCGGGUUUCGAGUGUAAUCGCACAAGCGGGCUUGACUGCGAGAACGACGGUUCGGGCAGGGACGAAAGUCGGAGAUAGUGAUCCGGUGCCGGCGCACGGGCGCGGCAUCGCUCAACGGAUAAAAGGUACCCCGGGGAUAACAGGCUGAUCAUUCCCAAGAGUCCAUAUCGACGGGAUGGUUUGGCACCUCGAUGUCGGCUCGUCGCAUCCUGGGGCUGGAGCAGGUCCCAAGGGUUCGGCUGUUCGCCGAUUAAAGCGGCACGCGAGCUGGGUUCAGAACGUCGUGAGACAGUUUGGUCUCUAUCCUCUGCGCUCGUUGGAAUCCUGAGGAGGCCUGCCCAUAGUACGAGAGGACCUGGGUGGACG